This 601-nucleotide ribosomal RNA is filed under the name uncultured bacterium. RNAcentral describes it as "bacterial SSU rRNA". It matches the Rfam family "Bacterial small subunit ribosomal RNA", at positions 732 to 1338 of the family's 1533-position model. The record is from RNAcentral.
GUCCUUUACUGACGCUAAAGCUCGAAAGUGCGGGUAUCGAACAGGAUUAGAUACCCUGGUAGUCCGCACGGUAAACGAUGGAUGCCCGCUGUUUGCGAUACAAUGUAAGCGGCCAAGCGAAAGCGUUAAGCAUCCCACCUGGGGAGUACGCCGGCAACGGUGAAACUCAAAGGAAUUGACGGGGGCCCGCACAAGCGGAGGAACAUGUGGUUUAAUUCGAUGAUACGCGAGGAACCUUACCCGGGCUUGAACUGCCAGCGAACGAUACAGAGAUGUUGAGGCCCUUCGGGGCGCUGGUGGAGGUGCUGCAUGGUUGUCGUCAGCUCGUGCCGUGAGGUGUCGGCUUAAGUGCCAUAACGAGCGCAACCCCUUUCGUCAGUUGCCAUCAGGUAAGGCUGGGCACUCUGGCGACACUGCCACCGUAAGGUGUGAGGAAGGUGGGGAUGACGUCAAAUCAGCACGGCCCUUACGUCCGGGGCUACACACGUGUUACAAUGGGUGAUACAGAGAGCAGGUGCAUGGCAAUGUGCAUCGAAUCAUGAAAGUCAUCCUCAGUUCGGAUUGGGGUCUGCAACCCGACCCCAUGAAGCUGGAUCGCUAG